This 256-nucleotide ribosomal RNA is filed under the name uncultured Actinomycetales bacterium. Its description in RNAcentral is "partial 16S ribosomal RNA". It matches the Rfam family "Bacterial small subunit ribosomal RNA", at positions 77 to 334 of the family's 1533-position model. The record is from RNAcentral. Lineage: Bacteria; Bacillati; Actinomycetota; Actinomycetes; Actinomycetales.
CUUUUGUGGGGUGCUCGAGUGGCGAACGGGUGAGUAACACGUGAGUAACCUGCCCUUGACUUUGGGAUAACUUCAGGAAACUGGGGCUAAUACCGGAUAGGAGCUCCUGCUGCAUGGUGGGGGUUGGAAAGUUUCGGCGGUUGGGGAUGGACUCGCGGCUUACCAGCUUGUUGGCGGGGUAGUGGCUUACCAAGGCUUUGACGGGUAGCCGGCCUGAGAGGGUGACCGGCCACAUUGGAACUGAGAAACGGUCCAA